CCUACGGGGGGCAGCAGUGGGGAAUUUUGGACAAUGGGCGCAAGCCUGAUCCAGCCAUGCCGCGUGAGUGAAGAAGGCCUUCGGGUUGUAAAGCUCUUUCGGCCGGGAAGAAAUCGCAUGGGUUAAUACCCUGUGCGGAUGACGGUACCGGCAUAAGAAGCACCGGCUAACUACGUGCCAGCAGCCGCGGUAAUACGUAGGGUGCGAGCGUUAGUCGGGCGUACUGGGCGGAAAUCUUGCGCAAGGCGUGAAAGCCCCGGGCUCAACCUGGGAACUGCGCUUAUGACUGGCAAGCUAGAGUACGGCAGAGGGGGGUGGAAUUCCACGUGUAGCAGUGAAAUGCGUAGAGAUGUGGAGGAACACCAAUGGCGAAGGCAGCCCCCUGGGUCGAUACUGACGCUCAUGCACGAAAGCGUGGGUAGCAAACAGGAUUAGAUACCCCAGUAGUC
Molecule: ribosomal RNA, 449 nt
Filed under: uncultured bacterium
Lineage: Bacteria
Description: partial 16S ribosomal RNA
Rfam family: Bacterial small subunit ribosomal RNA
Source: RNAcentral